Brassica oleracea var. oleracea is the source of this 1202-nucleotide long non-coding RNA. RefSeq lists it as uncharacterized. The transcript is spliced from 4 exons. The record is from RefSeq and is a predicted model, not a curated record. Lineage: Eukaryota; Viridiplantae; Streptophyta; Magnoliopsida; Brassicales; Brassicaceae.
GUUUAGACAAGUCGUAACUCUUCCGCUUUCCAAGCGUUUCUGUUCUUUUUUUUCAUCCCCUGAACCGUCUUCAUCAUCUCCACGCCCUACCCAGCGAUCUAAGGUUAAGAUCGAUGCCUCCGCUAUUGAAUAUCCAUUUAUUCGAAGAUGACUGUCUGUCGGUGAUGUUAUCUCUGCUACAGUUGUUGUAACGUCAGCCAGAUUUAGUAGGAUCUUGGACUUGGCCGCUCUUCUCAGGAGAUUGUUGGUCUUUUUCUCCGAUUCUAGGAUUUACCUAACGUUAAGAAGAACAUAUAAUUUAUGGGUAUCACUUUGAUGAAAAGCUGCACGUCUUAAUGAAUACCAUGGAGCUUUACGAGCAGGUGCCAUUGCGGAAGUUUGUGGUUUCGAAGUUGGACGUUGCACUAAUAUGUACAAGAGAACAGAUAGCCCUUUCAUCUUCCAACCAAAUCCCAAAGUUUUUGGAGGUAAUCUCGAUCUGAACUCCACCCCGGCGACCAAAUUUUAUUUGGACACCAACAUCCUUGCCAUCGAAGCUUUCACCAAUAGGUCAGUGUAAAGUGUUAUGCAAACAGAGCAUCACCAUAUUAUUCUACUUUUUAACCCACGCUUAGAUAACCAACUGCGUUUCAUUUGUACAUCGCUUCUGCUGUCUAUUGUCCAAUCAAUAUUAGCUAUAACUAUAUGGCAUGCUUGCUAAAAUAUAUCUUUGGACGCAUCUUGGGUGUUGCACCAACCAAGGCUUUCCCACGUAGAUGUUUCAAUAGCAGGCCUCCACACGUACAUAGCCACGUCAAACAACCAGGUUUCCAAAACUCUAUUUUCUAUCAUUUCUUAACUUUAAAAAUAAAACUUGUCCCACCUACUUUUUCUCCAUUGUCUCCGUAAAGACCCAGAAAGUUAACUUCCUUUUUAAAGCUUGGAAGUAUGCUACAACAGAAUGGUUGGUCGUACGUUUCUUGCACCGGUUGCAGCAGGAAGUUGGACAAAUCAUGGACUGCACCAUACCGCAACAAAUGUGUAUCACCCAAGAUCGCCGGGGUUUUAAGGUAACAAAGAGUCCUACAUAAUCAUACCUAUCCAAGUUUAAAUAAGACUUGGACGUAAACGUAAACUCCUCAUGUAUCACUUUGAGUUGGCUGUUGACGAUGGCCAUGAAAAGUAAUACGUUUGUUGUCAGUCCAAGAGGACAAAAAAAAAAU